Molecule: ribosomal RNA, 448 nt
Filed under: uncultured bacterium
Lineage: Bacteria
Description: bacterial SSU rRNA
Rfam family: Bacterial small subunit ribosomal RNA
Source: RNAcentral
GAGCGGUAGAGAGAAGCUUGCUUCUCUUGAGAGCGGCGGACGGGUGAGUAAUGCCUAGGAAUCUGCCUGGUAGUGGGGGAUAACGUCCGGAAACGGACGCUAAUACCGCAUACGUCCUACGGGAGAAAGCAGGGGACCUUCGGGCCUUGCGCUAUCAGAUGAGCCUAGGUCGGAUUAGCUAGUUGGUGGGGUAAUGGCUCACCAAGGCGACGAUCCGUAACUGGUCUGAGAGGAUGAUCAGUCACACUGGAACUGAGACACGGUCCAGACUCCUACGGGAGGCAGCAGUGGGGAAUAUUGGACAAUGGGCGAAAGCCUGAUCCAGCCAUGCCGCGUGUGUGAAGAGGGUCUUCGGAUUGUAAAGCACUUUAAGUUGGGAGGAAGGGCAGUUGCCUAAUACGUAACUGUNUUGACGUUACCGACAGAAUAAGCACCGGCUAACUCUGUG